UCGGGAAUUUUGGGCAAUGGGCGAAAGCCUGACCCAGCAACGCCGCGUGAAGGAUGAAGUAUUUCGGUAUGUAAACUUCGUAAGAAUAGGAAGAAUAAAUGACGGUACUAUUUGUAAGGUCCGGCUAACUACGUGCCAGCAGCCGCGGUAAUACGUAGGGACCAAGCGUUGUUCGGAUUUACUGGGCGUAAAGGGCGCGUAGGCGGCAAUUCAAGUCAUCUGUGAAAUCUCCGGGCUUAACUCGGAACGGUCAGAUGAUACUGCUUUGCUAGAGUGCAGAAGGGGCAAUCGGAAUUCUUGGUGUAGCGGUGAAAUGCGUAGAUAUCAAGAGGAACACCUGAGGUGAAGACGGGUUGCUGGGCUGACACUGACGCUGAGGCGCGAAAGCCAGGGGAGCAAACGGGAUUAGAUACCCCCGUAGUCCCUGAGCGGGCUGGCAAGGCGCAU
RNAcentral lists this ribosomal RNA (447 nucleotides) under uncultured bacterium. RNAcentral describes it as "bacterial SSU rRNA". It matches the Rfam family "Bacterial small subunit ribosomal RNA", at positions 355 to 825 of the family's 1533-position model. The record is from RNAcentral.